CGGCAAUCUGAGAAUAAGAAGCCUGUUUGUCUGUUUUUGUUUCUUUCCAGGUGAUGACGGCACAUGGCUUGCGACACCUCUCUGGGCCUGGUGAAGCAGGAGAGAAGGGACAGAAGGGGGAAAAAGGAGAACAGGGAGAAAGAGGCAUUCAAGGACCGCAAGGCCUAAAGGGGGUAAAGGGAAGUGUUGGACUACCAGGUCUAAAGGGCGAGCCAGGCUCAGAGGUACGUGCCAUCUGACUCCAUAUUAAUGUUAAGAUAUACUGUAUUAAAGCC
Molecule: long non-coding RNA, 275 nt
Filed under: Scleropages formosus (Asian bonytongue)
Lineage: Eukaryota; Metazoa; Chordata; Actinopteri; Osteoglossiformes; Osteoglossidae
Description: lncRNA (ENSSFOG00015030326.1)
Source: RNAcentral